AACAAGGUCUCCGUUGGUGAACCAGCGGAGGGAUCAUUAUCGAGUUAUUCAACUCCCAAACCCUAUGUGAACUUACCACUUGUUGCUUCGGCGCGCGCUUCGGCGCCGCCGAGGACACUUAAACUCUUUGUUUUUAUAAGCAUUUCUGAGUGGCCGAAAGGCAAAAAUACAAAUGAAUCAAAACUUUCAACAACGGAUCUCUUGGUUCUGGCAUCGAUGAAGAACGCAGAGAAAUGCGAUAAGUAAUGUGAAUUGCAGAAUUCAGUGAAUCAUCGAAUCUUUGAACGCACAUUGCGCCCGCCAGCAUUCUGGCGGGCAUGCCUGUUCGAGCGUCAUUUCAACCCUCGAGCCCGACUCUUUUGAGGACGGCUCGGCGUUGGGGGACGGCAGACUCCCCCCGGCAUCUCGCCGGGGACGCCGCCCCCGAAAUCUAGUGGCGGCCCUCCGAGGCGACCUCUGCGUAGUAACUUGUUCUCGCACCGGAAAGCUCAGAGCGGCCACGCCGUAAAACCCCAACUUUUUUCAGGUUGACCUCGAAUCAGGUAGGACUACCCGCUGAACUUAAGCAUAUCA
This 573-nucleotide ribosomal RNA is filed under the name uncultured eukaryote. RNAcentral describes it as "eukaryotic LSU rRNA". The stretch from base 182 to 335 matches the Rfam family "5.8S ribosomal RNA". The record is from RNAcentral.